GUAAGGCUGUCUGUUGACAAAAUCCCUUUUUAUAUCAGGAUUCCUUUAUUACUCAGGUGUUAUCUGGGGAUAAAACAACCAAAAGUGGGUCAGCUGUGUUGUCAUCAGAGCACUUGAAGCGCAAAGCUUGCCAUUAGUGUCAGUGUUUCAUGAGGCAAAGAAUGCCUUAGAAAGAGAGGAAGGGAUUUGGGAGAAGCACUUAAAUUUGGCAAGAACCAAACAAUUAGCACUACAGAUGAGGAUUGUGAAGCCCAGGAGACCUUGCUGAGCUGCUGUGCCAGCAUUACAUGAUCGGGGAGCGUAUCUGAAGGAUCUGCCAAAGUGGGUGAAGUCAUUCAAGUUUCCACUCAUUGACCCUAUGGUAACAUUUAACACGCACAACGCACAGCACAAAUGACAAGAGAAGGAAGCGAUGCC
Long non-coding RNA from Gallus gallus (chicken), 417 nucleotides. NCBI's taxonomy places the organism in Eukaryota, Metazoa, Chordata, Aves, Galliformes, Phasianidae. The record is from Ensembl.